UUAUUCUGCCUGCUUUACAUAUUUCCAUUUAUGUAUUUUACUUUUUUUUAUUCCUUAACUUGCUUUCUCCUUGAAUGUUUGGUUUGGAUCAAUUUUUCAUGGAAAUGAACAACUGGUUUUCAUCAUGAUCUGGUUUUAUUUUGAGAAGUGUAUUAGUCAAAGCUACGUAUCUUUUUUCUGAAUAGUUUGAUUAAUUUAUAAAUCCUACUUUUAAGAACGAAGAUUUUGACACAUAUUCAUGAAUUUUAAAAACAGCGUUGUAUUUAUUACUAAUUUAUAAGUCAAGGCUCAGCCGCCAGAUUCAUGAAGGUCGCUAGAGUCUUAUGACGCCUCAGGCCAUCUUCAUGUGCCGAACUUGUGAAAAUAUGUUGUGCCCUGUACAGUUUUGUUGCCUUUGUUACACAAGUAAAGAUAAUUUUUGGAACUGUUUUUGAGGGCAAAAAACAUAUUUCUGAAACAAAGUUCUCAUCGGAAUGAAAAAUCACAGCAGCUGAGUUGGUAUGUCAUGGAUAUGUGUAGGCCUUCCCUGUCUACUCAGUCUAUCUACUUGGAACUUGUGAUAGUUUUUACGCAUCAGUGACCUCCCUGGCCGCCUAGAAAUAUUCUUUUCAAGAUAGCCCAACAUGGAAUGUAUUGUUUCAUCAUUUACUUAGCCGGUGUGGCGAUUUCUCGAUUUGGCAGCGACGACAAAAUACCAGCAGACGAUUUUAAUAAAAACAGAGUUUGCGCCGUUCUACCCCGGUGAAGUCACAUUUCGCCUUCUCCCCUCCCCUCGUCCCUUAACUGUUAGCAGUUGUCAACGCAACAGCGCCAUUUCAAAACAUGUCUUUCCAUGGCGCUCUUUGAUGUAACUCCAGUGUUAGAAGGUGCAACAAGUCUUCAAGGAAAACUAGAAGAUGCCAUUGCAAAAUCUAAACUUCUUCUUGAAGCUGUUGAAGGUUCUCAAUCAAAGUACACUGAGUUGAGUGACGAAUAUCCUGUGCUUCGAAGUCUGAAGGGUAGACUAGCUGCAUCACAGGGGCCAAACGAAGCUUUAUCUACAGAACUCGUCAAAUUCAAAUUAGACCUUGAAUCUUUUGUGGAAGAUGUAUUUAACGCUCACGAUCAAGUAAGGAAGGAUUUUCAACUUUGGACAAACGAGCUUGAAAGAGAUAAUGCAAAACUACGCCGUGAAAGAAUGGACUUGGCGAACGAACGAAGAAAACUUGAGGUUGAUCGCAGAGAUUUUGAUGCUAAGUGCCCGGCAGCAGCAAAGGAAGAACAACAAAUCACUGAAGCACGAACGGUUACCAGUACCGACGACACAGACGAGAAAUUAGUUAUUGCUGUAAAUAACAACACAGAACAUCAUGAGGAAAAUGAACAAACUAAAUCUGAAUCACCUUUUGCAACAUGUCAUGUUGAAUGCCAGACAGAAGCUGAGGUGAAUUCAGUAGAGGAGCCUGGUGGAGAAGACAUCCAAACGGCUGAGACCAUCCCAGGAAAGGAUGAAGAAGAGAAACUGGAAAUGGAAAAUCAUCAGUUGUUGCAAUGCAGGUCUCAAAUACACACAGCAUCCAUUGGUAGAAAUCAGCGCAUUCUUACUGCUCCAGUGUCCAGAGCAAAAGCUCUGCUUCUUAAAAAACAGGAUCAUGCAUUAAGGAUACACAAGAUGCUACUUGAUGAUAUCUAUAAGACGAAAGAAGAAAACCAACUUCUCAAGGCUGAGAACUCUAUACUGUCAAAGAGAGCAAAUGAAGCCACCUCUGAGUUAUUUCGCCUAAAGAACAAAAUGACAGUAAACAUGUCUGAUAGGGAUGAGCUGUACAAGAAAUUGCAGAAAUCAAAGGAGCAGAUCCUAAAACUUGAACAAACACUGAAAAGACAAGCUCUUGGUCUGGUAUCCAAUUUAAAGGAACAAAGACAACUAAAAGAGGAAAUGAGGUGGAGCCAGGUAAGUUGGUGAAACCCAAAAGUCUGCAUGUAAUCUGAGGCCACACAUGAAGGUAGCAAAGAGGAAGGGAUGUGGAGAGGAACCAGGCUGGAACAAGAGAGGUGGAAUGAUUGAAGGGAUCUUUGCUCUUCCUCUUAACCAACAUUCCAGUCAAACCAGAAGGAUUCCACGAGAAAGACCAUCUACUAGGGGGCGCUAAAUGUUUUGUCAGACCAUAUGACUAAUAUGUAAAACUGGGGAAAUUUUCAACAUUCCUAGCUUGUUCUCAGUCAUUGGAGAAAUUUAUCCAUUGCUUGACAUGUACAGAGAAAGUGAACUGAUACCAAGAUAACGCAUAAUUUACAACUGAGUUGAAAACCAUUCCCUGUUCAGUACUUCUUAAAAAUAUUUAUGUUAAACAACCUUUUGAAAAUGAUAUAAAGCAGUCUAAAUUUCAAA
Molecule: unclassified non-coding RNA, 2371 nt
Filed under: Pocillopora damicornis (cauliflower coral)
Lineage: Eukaryota; Metazoa; Cnidaria; Anthozoa; Scleractinia; Pocilloporidae
Description: uncharacterized LOC113686322, transcript variant X1
Source: RNAcentral